GACGAACGCUGGCGGCGUGCCUAAUACAUGCAAGUCGAGCGAAGUUUUUCUGGUGCUUGCACUAGAAAAACUUAGCGGCGAACGGGUGAGUAACACGUAAAGAACCUGCCUCAUAGACUGGGACAACUAUUGGAAACGAUAGCUAAUACCGGAUAACAGUAUUUCUCGCAUGAGAGAUAUUUAAAAGUUGGUUAUGCUAACACUAUGAGAUGGCUUUGCGGUGCAUUAGCUAGUUGGCGGGGUAAAGGCCCACCGAGGCGACGAUGCAUAGCCGACCUGAGAGGGUGAUCGGCCACACUGGGACUGAGACACGGCCCAGACUCCUACGGGAGGCAGCAGUAGGGAAUCUUCCGCAAUGGGCGAAAGCCUGACGGAGCAACGCCGCGUGAGUGAAGAAGGAUUUCGGUUCGUAAAGCUCUGUUGUUAGGGAAGAAUGGAUAUGUAGUAACUAUACAUGUAAGAGACGGUACCUAACCAGAAAGCCACGGCUAACUACGUG
This 499-nucleotide ribosomal RNA is filed under the name uncultured bacterium. Its description in RNAcentral is "partial 16S ribosomal RNA". It matches the Rfam family "Bacterial small subunit ribosomal RNA", at positions 28 to 507 of the family's 1533-position model. The record is from RNAcentral.